UACGUAGGGCGCAAGCGUUGUCCGGAAUUAUUGGGCGUAAAGAGCUCGUGGGCGGUCUGUCGCGUCCGUUGUGAAAACUCGAGGCUCAACUUCGGGCUUGCAGUGGAUACGGGCAGACUAGAGUGCGGUAGGGGGAGACUGGAAUUCCUGGUGUAGCGGUGGAAUGCGCAGAUAUCAGGAGGAACACCGAUGGCGAAGGCAGAUCUCUGGGCCGUAACUGACGCUGAGGAGCGAAAGCAUGGGGAGCGAACAGG
Molecule: ribosomal RNA, 254 nt
Filed under: uncultured bacterium
Lineage: Bacteria
Description: partial 16S ribosomal RNA
Rfam family: Bacterial small subunit ribosomal RNA
Source: RNAcentral